CUGUGCAAAGGUAGCAUAAUCAUUAGUUUUUUAAUUGAAAGCUGGAAUGAAGGGUUUGAUAAGAAAAAUACUGUCUCGGUAUUAAAUUUAAAAUUUUAUUUUUAAGUUAAAAAGCUUAAAUAGAUUAAGAAGACGAGAAGACCCUGUAGAGUUUAAUAGUAGUAAAUUUAAUAAUGUUUGAUUUAAUUUGAAUUAAGUGAGGUAGUAUUUUGUUGGGGUGAUGUGAAAAUUUAAUUAACUUUUCAUUUAUUAUAACAUUAAUUUUUGAAUAAUUGAUCCUGACUUUUGGAUUAUAAGAAAAAAUUACCUUAGGGAUAACAGCGUAAUUAUUUUAGAGAGUUCUUAUCGAAAAAAUAGAUUGCGACCUCGAUGUUGGAUUAAAAUUAAAUUUUGGUGUAGAAGCUGAAAAUUUGAGUCUGUUCGACUUUUAAAAUU
This 435-nucleotide ribosomal RNA is filed under the name Eobia cinereipennis. RNAcentral's name for it is "partial 16S ribosomal RNA". The stretch from base 314 to 435 matches the Rfam family "Bacterial large subunit ribosomal RNA", at positions 2473 to 2595 of the family's 2925-position model. The record is from RNAcentral. Lineage: Eukaryota; Metazoa; Arthropoda; Insecta; Coleoptera; Oedemeridae.